RNAcentral lists this ribosomal RNA (303 nucleotides) under uncultured bacterium. Its description in RNAcentral is "partial 16S ribosomal RNA". It matches the Rfam family "Bacterial small subunit ribosomal RNA", at positions 507 to 807 of the family's 1533-position model. The record is from RNAcentral.
AGCAGUCGCCGCGGUAAUACGUAGGGUGCGAGCGUUAAUCGGAAUUACUGGGCGUAAAGCGGGCGCAGACGGUUACUUAAGCAGGAUGUGAAACCCCCGGGCUCAACCUGGGAACUGCGUUCUGAACUGGGUGACUAGAGUGUGUCAGAGGGAGGUAGAAUUCCACGUGUAGCAGUGAAAUGCGUAGAUAUUUGGAGGAACAUCGGUGGCGAAGGCGACCUUCUGGACUGUUACUGACGCUGAGAUCCGAAAGCGUGGGGAUCAAACAGGAUUAGAUACCCCAGUAGUCCCUGUCUCUUAUAC